RNAcentral lists this long non-coding RNA (314 nucleotides) under Mytilus galloprovincialis (Mediterranean mussel). The record is from RNAcentral. Lineage: Eukaryota; Metazoa; Mollusca; Bivalvia; Mytilida; Mytilidae.
UGUUUCGUUCCACUCCACUAAUUUUUGCCAAAAUUACGGGCUUUGAACUUUGAGAAAUUGUUGAAAAUUACAGUUAUACAUUGUUUUUUUUAUAAACGCCUUUAGAUAUUGGGCUGAUUUUUGGUAAGUAAGUUAACCAUGAUGAUUUACAGAUCAAGUUUAAGUUUCGAUCUAUUAACCACACUUUGCCGAAAUUACAGGAUUUGAUCUUUGAGAAAUUGUGAAAAAUCACGUUAUGCAGAUUUUUUUUUAAUAUUUUUUUUAUUGUAUACAUUUUCAUGAAUGACAGAAUUAUUGAGAAUAUUGAAUUUUGU